This 925-nucleotide ribosomal RNA is filed under the name Lactiplantibacillus paraplantarum. RNAcentral's name for it is "bacterial SSU rRNA". It matches the Rfam family "Bacterial small subunit ribosomal RNA", at positions 28 to 857 of the family's 1533-position model. Lineage: Bacteria; Bacillati; Bacillota; Bacilli; Lactobacillales; Lactobacillaceae. The record is from RNAcentral.
GUCCCACCUUAGGCGCCUAAUACAUGCAAGUCGAACGAACUCUGGUAUUGAUUGGUGCUUGCAUCAUGAUUUACAUUUGAGUGAGUGGCGAACUGGUGAGUAACACGUGGGAAACCUGCCCAGAAGCGGGGUGAUAACACCUGGAAUACAGAUGCUAAUACCGACAUAAUGCAGACGAGUUGGACCGCAUGGUCCGAGCUUGAAAGAUGGCUUCGGCUAUCACUUUUGGAUGGUCCCGCGGCGUAUUAGCUAGAUGGUGGGGUAACGGCUCACCAUGGCAAUGAUACGUAGCCGACCUGAGAGGGUAAUCGGCCACAUUGGGACUGACGACACGGCCCAAACUCCUACGGGAGGUCAGCAGUAGGGAAUCUUCCACAAUGGACGAAAGUCAUGAUGGAGCAACGCCGCGUGAGUGAAGAAGGGUUUCGGCUCGUAAAACUCUGUUGUUAAAGAAGAACAUAUCUCGAGAGUAACUGUUGACAGGUAUUGACGACCUGUAUUUAAGUCCACGAAAGCCACGGCUAAUCUACGUGCCAGCAGCCGCGGUAAUACGUCAGGACCUGGCAAGCGUUGUCCGGAUUUAUUGGGCGUAAAGCGCAUGCGCAGGCGGUUUUUUAAGUCUGAUGUGAAAGCCUUCGAGCUUCAACCUUGAAGAAGUGCUCCCCAUGCGGAAACUGGGAAAUGCUUGAGCUGCAGAAGAGGACAGUGGAAACCCUCCAUGUGUUAGCGGUGAAAUGCGUAGAUAUAUGGAAUGAACUACCAGUGGAUCGAAGGCGGCUGUCUGGUCUGUAUACUGACGCUGAGGCUCAGAUUCAGUAUGGGUAGCAAACAGCCGACUUAGAUACCCUGGUAGUCCAUACCGUAAAUCGAUGAAUUUCACCGCUAAGUGUUGGAGGGUUUCCGCCCUUCAGUGCUGCAGCUAACG